This 253-nucleotide ribosomal RNA is filed under the name uncultured bacterium. Its description in RNAcentral is "partial 16S ribosomal RNA". It matches the Rfam family "Bacterial small subunit ribosomal RNA", at positions 524 to 776 of the family's 1533-position model. The record is from RNAcentral.
UACGGGGGGGGCAAGCGUUGUUCGGAAUUACUGGGCGUAAAGGGCUCGUAGGCGGCCAACUAAGUCGGACGUGAAAUCCCCAGGCUCAACCUGGGAACUGCAUCCGAUACUGGAUGGCUUGAAUUCGGGAGAGGGAUGCAGAAUUCCAGGUGUAGCGGUGAAAUGCGUAGAUAUCAGGAAGAACACCCGUGGCGAAAGCGGCUCUCUGGAACGGUACUGACGCUGAGACGCGAAAGCGUGGGGAGCGAACAGG